GUGCUCAUUUUGGCAUUACAUAUUUUAAAUUAAAGCAAUGCACAGAAGAUUAGCCUGGCUCCUAUGCAAAAUAUCUGACAGUCAAAUCCAUGAAUCAUUUCACACUUUU
Molecule: small nuclear RNA, 109 nt
Filed under: Tursiops truncatus (common bottlenose dolphin)
Lineage: Eukaryota; Metazoa; Chordata; Mammalia; Artiodactyla; Delphinidae
Source: RNAcentral